RNAcentral lists this transfer RNA (93 nucleotides) under Bacillota bacterium. RNAcentral's name for it is "tRNA-Ser". It matches the Rfam family "tRNA". From Rfam's summary of the family: Transfer RNA (tRNA) molecules are approximately 80 nucleotides in length. The record is from RNAcentral. Lineage: Bacteria; Bacillati; Bacillota.
GGAGAGAUGGCCGAGUCCGGCUGAAGGCGCUCGACUCGAAAUCGAGUUGGCACUAACACUGCCACGUGGGUUCGAAUCCCACUCUCUCCGCCA